UACAGAGGUCUCAAGCGUUGUUCGGAUUCAUUGGGCGUAAAGGGUGUGUAGGUGGCGCCGUAAGUCGGGUGUGAAAUUUCGGAGCUUAACUCCGAAACUGCAUUCGAUACUGCGGUGCUUGAGGACUGGAGAGGAGACUGGAAUUCAUGGUGUAGCAGUGAAAUGCGUAGAGAUCAUGAGGAAGACCAGUGGCGAAGGCGGGUCUCUGGACAGUUCCUGACACUGAGACACGAAGGCCAGGGGAGCAAAACGGG
This 254-nucleotide ribosomal RNA is filed under the name uncultured bacterium. RNAcentral describes it as "partial 16S ribosomal RNA". It matches the Rfam family "Bacterial small subunit ribosomal RNA", at positions 524 to 777 of the family's 1533-position model. The record is from RNAcentral.